Molecule: ribosomal RNA, 433 nt
Filed under: uncultured bacterium
Lineage: Bacteria
Description: partial 16S ribosomal RNA
Rfam family: Bacterial small subunit ribosomal RNA
Source: RNAcentral
AACGAACGCUGGCGGCAGGCCUAACACAUGCAAGUCGAGCGAGCAUUUCGGUGCUAGCGGCGGACGGGUGAGUAACGCGUGGGAACGUUCCCUUUUCUGCGGCAUAGUCCUGGGAAACUGGGGGUAAUACCGCAUACGCCCUUUUGGGGAAAGAUUUAUCGGAGCAGGAUCGGCCCGCGUUGGAUUAGGUAGUUGGUGGGGUAAUGGCCCACCAAGCCGACGAUCCAUAGCUGGUUUGAGAGGAUGAUCAGCCACACUGGGACUGAGACACGGCCCAGACUCCUACGGGAGGCAGCAGUGGGGAAUCUUAGACAAUGGGGGCAACCCUGAUCUAGCCAUGCCGGGUGAGUGAUGAAGGCCUUAGGGUUGUAAAGCUCUUUCAGCUGGGAAGAUAAUGACGGUACCAGCAGAAGAAGCCCCGGCUAACUCCGUG